GAUGAACGCUGGCGGCGUGCCUAAUACAUGCAAGUCGAGCGAACAGAUAAGGAGCUUGCUCCUUUGAAGUUAGCGGCGGACGGGUGAGUAACACGUGGGUAACCUACCUAUAAGACUGGGAUAACUUCGGGAAACCGGAGCUAAUACCGGAUAACAUUUAGAACCGCAUGGUUCUAAAGUGAAAGAUGGUUUUGCUAUCACUUAUAGAUGGACCCGCGCCGUAUUAGCUAGUUGGUAAGGUAACGGCUUACCAAGGCGACGAUACGUAGCCGACCUGAGAGGGUGAUCGGCCACACUGGAACUGAGACACGGUCCAGACUCCUACGGGAGGCAGCAGUAGGGGAUCUUCCGCAAAGGGCGAAAGCCUGACGGAGCAACGCCGCGUGAGUGAUGAAGGGUUUCGGCUCGUAAAACUCUGUUAUUAGGGAAGAACAAAUGUGUAAGUAACUGUGCACAUCUUGACGGUACCUAAUCAGAAAGCCACGGCUAACUACGUG
This 497-nucleotide ribosomal RNA is filed under the name uncultured bacterium. RNAcentral describes it as "partial 16S ribosomal RNA". It matches the Rfam family "Bacterial small subunit ribosomal RNA", at positions 28 to 507 of the family's 1533-position model. The record is from RNAcentral.